ACACAUUUUCCUGUUUGUUUUUAAUCGUCAGUUCAUGCGAUUUCUUCACCACUUAUUGAGAGAAAACCACAGAACAAGCUUAUUUCUGACCGACUCUCAUUAACACCGCUGUAUCGAGGAGAAGCAGGAGAUUUGAAGCUUUCCUCCUGAAUGAGCUCCUUUGUUCCCAGAAGGCCGCUGGUAUCGACGUUAACGCCACGAAACGCAGGACUGCUCUGACACUGCACAUUAUAAUUGGGAGCAUUUUGACAGUCUUGUUUUUCUGCUACACACCAAGGCCGUGUUGGAGCAGAGUUUUCCUCUCUGGACUGAAGUCCCUGGUUUGUCGUUUUGGUUUAUUCUCUAAACAAACUUCAUGAAACUCUCUGCAUCCACCCGUCUUCAUUCGUUUCUUUCUUUCUGUCCUCCACACUUUUUCUUUGCCAUCACUUCCUUGCACUGUUAAGGAACAGGACUUUCUUUCUUGUCUGCCGUCUCAUCCUCUUUUCAUUUUCAGUCUAUUCACUGCAGGUCCAUUUGGGUCCCUUUGUCGGUUCUGCAGAAGUGACAGAAAUGAUUAGAGGAAGAAAAUCACAGAGCACCGAACAGAAGAACCACAAGAAACCACACACCGAAUUCUGCAGCACCGCUACCUGUUCGGUUUCCAAAGUCAAGCUAGCACAACUGAGCUGCUUCGCUCUCUCUCACUGUUAAUCUUGCAGGUGUGACGUCACUUUGCAACGUGUCGUUUUUAGGAAAGUGGAUGAUGACUUGAAAUGAUAUGGAGGCAGAGAAUGACUACAGUGAAUGUCUCAAACAUGAACAAAUCAAGAAACAACAAUGAAAACCUAUUCAGUAACACAAAUACCUACUAAAAAUUUUAAU
This is a long non-coding RNA of Poecilia latipinna (sailfin molly), 864 nucleotides long. RefSeq lists it as uncharacterized. The record is from RefSeq and is a predicted model, not a curated record. The transcript has 3 exons. Lineage: Eukaryota; Metazoa; Chordata; Actinopteri; Cyprinodontiformes; Poeciliidae.